UGUCACAGCAAAAGUUACAACAGGAGGAAAACACAGAAAUGGUUCAACAUUUUUUUUUUAAACUUUGCACUGCCAAGAGCUGAAGGAGAGUGGUGAGCAAAGGAAUGAAGGGGAGAGAGAGAAACUGAACUGGAAGAUUGAGUUUUGUAUAGCUUCUUGAAACCUUAUGAAUGGAUUACUAGCAGCUGAGAGCCAGGAGAGACCUAUAGGGACUGCAAGAUCAUUCACACAUAAACAGGGGCAGAAAAGGAGGCGGAAUUCUUCCUUGCUGUAUUAUCCCUCCUUCCUGAAAUGAAUGGUAUGGAACCUUUUUCUGAGGGUCACGGGGGUGGCAUGAAGGAGGGGGAAGUUUUCUUCUUUUCUUACCUGAGUAUCUUUUCUUCAUUUACACUAAGGUUCCUCUCCUUCCUUCUUUUCUUUCCUGGUCUUUCUCUGCAUCUCCCUCUACUCCCUUCCAAAGCUCCAAACUCUUUUGAGCUACUUCAGGGGGAAAAAAAAAGAAAAAGAAAAGGGCUAAGUCAGAAGGAGUGAAGGGAGAUAGGAAAACAAGAAAAGGGAAAAGGACAGUCUGGGAUCAAGGGAUUUCUGUUUAGUAAUGUCCACGUGCCUGAAUUGAUCUCUUUGGGGACUUGCUUUGAGGCUCCAGUGGAUGCUGCACAGGGAGACUGGGCAUGCCAGGGGGCGGGCGAUUAGGGCACAGCAUGCUGAACGCAAACAAGUCAGUAUUUAGCCGGGCUAGAGGAGUUUAGGAAACGGAGGAGAAGUCUCGAGGCGAAAGAGGCACUGCGAUCUUACUCCAAAGUGUGUGGGCUGCAUGUUUUAUGUGUGGGCAACACAAGCAGGGAUUUUAGAACUGUAAGUAAUUUUUCUUAGUGAAGGAAGGACCCAAUAUAUUCCUCUACCUGUUUUGUACCCACCUGUGGUCAAACAUCCUCACCCGUGUCAAGAAUUCAGAAUCAUGUUCUCAGUGUGUGCAUACGUGUGUGUGUGUGUGUGCGUGUGUGUGUGUGUGUGUGUGUGUGUACAUGUCCAUGUGUUUAGGGGGUGGGACUCUGAGAUAGCCUGCCUCUAGGCAAGCAUUAUUACAGAGGCUGGAGU
This 1098-nucleotide long non-coding RNA is filed under the name Ursus maritimus (polar bear). RNAcentral's name for it is "lncRNA (ENSUMAG00000020415.1)". Lineage: Eukaryota; Metazoa; Chordata; Mammalia; Carnivora; Ursidae. The record is from RNAcentral.